Arabidopsis lyrata subsp. lyrata is the source of this 667-nucleotide long non-coding RNA. RefSeq lists it as uncharacterized. Lineage: Eukaryota; Viridiplantae; Streptophyta; Magnoliopsida; Brassicales; Brassicaceae. The record is from RefSeq and is a predicted model, not a curated record. The transcript has 2 exons.
CAGACUCAACCUAAGUUUGGAUCUCUAUCCACAUAUAUUGGAUCUCACUGUUGGAUCUUUUAAUCCCAAAUCCUCAAAAUCGACGUCUGAAUCCCUAACAUUAAUUUUUUUUUUCUCUCUUGAAGAACGACAAACUUGAAGAACCCACCAAAUCCCUCCGUCGUUCUUCUCUCGGAGCUCUACUCUACUCUCGUCGCCGGCAAACCUCCUCUUCUUCCCUAUUCUCUCCUUUUUUCGAUCUUCAUUCUUCUUUCUUCUCGUUGGAAAUCCACCGUGAGAAAUCCAAAUUCAUGUUCAUCCGUGUCCUCUCUUUAUGAUGAGAUUAUGAGAGUAUGCAAAACAAAGAUUUAAGCAAUGUUCUAAGAAGAAAUGUUAGUUGGCACCGAAAAGGAUAGUUAAGCCUUCAAUUCAUGUCAACGAACCGUAUACGGAAGAAAAGAUGAAGAUGGAGAUCGAAGGAGAAGAAGAAGGUCUCUUGGUGGUUUUAGAUAUAUUGUAUGGUUUUUGAUACCACUGUGUUGGUGUUUUGGCUUUAGGUACAAAUGUUCGGAUUGUGUUUUGGUUUAUAAGGUUAUGUAUGAAUCUAAGUGUUUAGGUACAACUGAUACGAACAGGUACAACUAUGUAUCUGGGUUUAUAAAUCUAAGUGUUUAGGUACAAUUGUUCA